This 633-nucleotide long non-coding RNA is filed under the name Androctonus crassicauda. The record is from RNAcentral. Lineage: Eukaryota; Metazoa; Arthropoda; Arachnida; Scorpiones; Buthidae.
GGGACUCCCGUGGUCUGCUUGUGGAGCGUGUUUCUGAAGACAGGGUGUGAUUCAUGGCACAUUGUGUGGGCUGUGUCUCUCAACAUUGCUGGUGUCGUUGCUUUAUCAUUAACAUUCUGUAGUGGGGGACGGUAGAAGGCGGAGCACGUGGCUUCUGUCCUGACCGACGGGUGUGGGCUUUUGGAAUCAUACGUGGAUGGCAUCUCUCCUGGGUUGUGCCUCAUGGAUUGUGCUGCCUGUGGUGCCUCAUCCGCGCUGUUGGCUGUGUGUUUGUAUGUCCGCAAUGUGUUGUUGCACCAUUUGGCGACCUUUGGCUCUGGAUUGUGGGUGGGGGGGGUCCGUUUUUCAACAAUUGGUCUUGCUUCCACGGGCAUUUUGUGGGUUUUGAUGUGGGUGAGCAUCCUUGGGCGGGAUGGUGCCGUCACCUUCCGAUGUUUGGGGACGGUGGGAGGGUGUUUGCUCUUGACUGUUUUCGCUAUUUUCGCUUUGGGUUUGUUUGUGGGAUCGCCGCGGAUUCUUUCAGCGUUCGAGUCUUGUAUAUACUUACGGAUGAGCUCGUCAUGUUCUUGUUGCCUCAUUGUGGCGAGCUUUUUGGUUUUGUCUUCUCGUGUUGCUAUUGGCCCAUUAUCUUUU